Molecule: ribosomal RNA, 373 nt
Filed under: uncultured bacterium
Lineage: Bacteria
Description: bacterial SSU rRNA
Rfam family: Bacterial small subunit ribosomal RNA
Source: RNAcentral
ACGUAGGGGGCGAGCGUUGUCCGGAUUUACUGGGCGUAAAGCGCGUGUAGGCGGUCCCUUAAGUCCGAGGUGAAAGGCGGAGGCUCAACCUCCGAGCUGCGUCGGAAACUGGGGGUCUUGAAUGUCGGAGAGGGGCGUGGAAUUCCUGGUGUAGCGGUGAAAUGCGUAGAGAUCAGGAGGAACACCGGUGGCGAAGGCGGCGCUCUGGCCGAACAUUGACGCUGAGACGCGAAAGCGCGGGGAGCGAACGGGAUUAGAUACCCCGGUAGUCCGCGCCGUAAACGAUGGUCACUAGGUGUACGCGGUAUCGACCCCGCGUGUGCCGCAGCUAACGCAUUAAGUGACCCGCCUGGGGAGUACGGCCGCAAGGUUG